RNAcentral lists this ribosomal RNA (252 nucleotides) under uncultured bacterium. Its description in RNAcentral is "partial 16S ribosomal RNA". It matches the Rfam family "Bacterial small subunit ribosomal RNA", at positions 524 to 776 of the family's 1533-position model. The record is from RNAcentral.
UACGUAGGUGGCGAGCGUUAUCCGGAAUGAUUGGGCGUAAAGGGUGCGUAGGCGGCCUGCUAAGUCUGGAGUGAAAGGUACCGGCUCAACCGGUACAGGCUCUGGAAACUGGCAGCCUCGAGUGCGGUAGGGGUAAGCGGAAUUCCCGGUGUAGCGGUGGAAUGCGCAGAUAUCGGGAAGAACACCGAUGGCGAAGGCAGCUUACUGGGCCGACACUGACGCUGAGGCGCGAAAGCUAGGGGAGCGAACAGG